GGGUGCGUUUGAUUUGCUAAAAAACAGGGGACUGGACAGGACAACUUUUGUUGUACUCUGUUUGAUUUGAAAUUUGUUAUGGGACUGGACAAAUUAGAUAGCAAGGGACAGGACAAAAACAAGAUUUUUUGUCCCUCACUAAACCACGGGACAACUUUUUGUCCACAGUACAAAUAUAAAAAAUACGAAAAUACCCAUUUU
This 201-nucleotide long non-coding RNA is filed under the name Trifolium pratense (red clover). Its description in RNAcentral is "long non-coding RNA (TPRA_LNC013852)". Lineage: Eukaryota; Viridiplantae; Streptophyta; Magnoliopsida; Fabales; Fabaceae. The record is from RNAcentral.